ACUAAGCGUACACGGUGGAUGCCCUGGCAGUCAGAGGCGAUGAAGGACGUGCUAAUCUGCGAUAAGCGUCGGUAAGGUGAUAUGAACCGUUAUAACCGGCGAUUUCCGAAUGGGGAAACCCAGUGUGAUUCGUCACACUAUCAUUAACUGAAUCCAUAGGUUAAUGAGGCGAACCGGGGGAACUGAAACAUCUAAGUACCCCGAGGAAAAGAAAUCAACCGAGAUUCCCCCAGUAGCGGCGAGCGAACGGGGAGGAGCCCAGAGCCUGAAUCAGUGUGUGUGUUAGUGGAAGCGUCUGGAAAGGCGCGCGAUACAGGGUGACAGCCCCGUACACAAAAAUGCACAUACUGUGAGCUCGAUGAGUAGGGCGGGACACGUGGUAUCCUGUCUGAAUAUGGGGGGACCAUCCUCCAAGGCUAAAUACUCCUGACUGACCGAUAGUGAACCAGUACCGUGAGGGAAAGGCGAAAAGAACCCCGGCGAGGGGAGUGAAAAAGAACCUGAAACCGUGUACGUACAAGCAGUGGGAGCCUCUUUAUGGGGUGACUGCGUACCUUUUGUAUAAUGGGUCAGCGACUUAUAUUCUGUAGCAAGGUUAACCGAAUAGGGGAGCCGAAGGGAAACCGAGUCUUAACUGGGCGUUAAGUUGCAGGGUAUAGACCCGAAACCCGGUGAUCUAGCCAUGGGCAGGUUGAAGGUUGGGUAACACUAACUGGAGGACCGAACCGACUAAUGUUGAAAAAUUAGCGGAUGACUUGUGGCUGGGGGUGAAAGGCCAAUCAAACCGGGAGAUAGCUGGUUCUCCCCGAAAGCUAUUUAGGUAGCGCCUCGUGAAUUCAUCUCCGGGGGUAGAGCACUGUUUCGGCAAGGGGGUCAUCCCGACUUACCAACCCGAUGCAAACUGCGAAUACCGGAGAAUGUUAUCACGGGAGACACACGGCGGGUGCUAACGUCCGUCGUGAAGAGGGAAACAACCCAGACCGCCAGCUAAGGUCCCAAAGUCAUGGUUAAGUGGGAAACGAUGUGGGAAGGCCCAGACAGCCAGGAUGUUGGCUUAGAAGCAGCCAUCAUUUAAAGAAAGCGUAAUAGCUCACUGGUCGAGUCGGCCUGCGCGGAAGAUGUAACGGGGCUAAACCAUGCACCGAAGCUGCGGCAGCGACACUAUGUGUUGUUGGGUAGGGGAGCGUUCUGUAAGCCUGCGAAGGUGUACUGUGAGGUAUGCUGGAGGUAUCAGAAGUGCGAAUGCUGACAUAAGUAACGAUAAAGCGGGUGAAAAGCCCGCUCGCCGGAAGACCAAGGGUUCCUGUCCAACGUUAAUCGGGGCAGGGUGAGUCGACCCCUAAGGCGAGGCCGAAAGGCGUAGUCGAUGGGAAACAGGUUAAUAUUCCUGUACUUGGUGUUACUGCGAAGGGGGGACGGAGAAGGCUAUGUUGGCCGGGCGACGGUUGUCCCGGUUUAAGCGUGUAGGCUGGUUUUCCAGGCAAAUCCGGAAAAUCAAGGCUGAGGCGUGAUGACGAGGCACUACGGUGCUGAAGCAACAAAUGCCCUGCUUCCAGGAAAAGCCUCUAAGCAUCAGGUAACAUCAAAUCGUACCCCAAACCGACACAGGUGGUCAGGUAGAGAAUACCAAGGCGCUUGAGAGAACUCGGGUGAAGGAACUAGGCAAAAUGGUGCCGUAACUUCGGGAGAAGGCACGCUGAUAUGUAGGUGAAGUCCCUCGCGGAUGGAGCUGAAAUCAGUCGAAGAUACCAGCUGGCUGCAACUGUUUAUUAAAAACACAGCACUGUGCAAACACGAAAGUGGACGUAUACGGUGUGACGCCUGCCCGGUGCCGGAAGGUUAAUUGAUGGGGUUAGCGGUAACGCGAAGCUCUUGAUCGAAGCCCCGGUAAACGGCGGCCGUAACUAUAACGGUCCUAAGGUAGCGAAAUUCCUUGUCGGGUAAGUUCCGACCUGCACGAAUGGCGUAAUGAUGGCCAGGCUGUCUCCACCCGAGACUCAGUGAAAUUGAACUCGCUGUGAAGAUGCAGUGUACCCGCGGCAAGACGGAAAGACCCCGUGAACCUUUACUAUAGCUUGACACUGAACAUUGAGCCUUGAUGUGUAGGAUAGGUGGGAGGCUUUGAAGUGUGGACGCCAGUCUGCAUGGAGCCGACCUUGAAAUACCACCCUUUAAUGUUUGAUGUUCUAACGUUGGCCCCUGAUCGGGGUUGCGGACAGUGUCUGGUGGGUAGUUUGACUGGGGCGGUCUCCUCCUAAAGAGUAACGGAGGAGCACGAAGGUUGGCUAAUCCUGGUCGGACAUCAGGAGGUUAGUGCAAUGGCAUAAGCCAGCUUGACUGCGAGCGUGACGGCGCGAGCAGGUGCGAAAGCAGGUCAUAGUGAUCCGGUGGUUCUGAAUGGAAGGGCCAUCGCUCAACGGAUAAAAGGUACUCCGGGGAUAACAGGCUGAUACCGCCCAAGAGUUCAUAUCGACGGCGGUGUUUGGCACCUCGAUGUCGGCUCAUCACAUCCUGGGGCUGAAGUAGGUCCCAAGGGUAUGGCUGUUCGCCAUUUAAAGUGGUACGCGAGCUGGGUUUAGAACGUCGUGAGACAGUUCGGUCCCUAUCUGCCGUGGGCGCUGGAGAACUGAGGGGGGCUGCUCCUAGUACGAGAGGACCGGAGUGGACGCAUCACUGGUGUUCGGGUUGUCAUGCCAAUGGCACUGCCCGGUAGCUAAAUGCGGAAGAGAUAAGUGCUGAAAGCAUCUAAGCACGAAACUUGCCCCGAGAUGAGUUCUCCCUGACUCCCUGAGAGUCCUGAAGGAACGUUGAAGACGACGACGUUGAUAGGCCGGGUGUGUAAGCGCAGCGAUGCGUUGAGCUAACCGGUACUAAUGAACCGUGAGGCUUAACC
This 2893-nucleotide ribosomal RNA is filed under the name Escherichia coli. RNAcentral's name for it is "bacterial LSU rRNA". It matches the Rfam family "Bacterial large subunit ribosomal RNA". Lineage: Bacteria; Pseudomonadati; Pseudomonadota; Gammaproteobacteria; Enterobacterales; Enterobacteriaceae. The record is from RNAcentral.